Molecule: ribosomal RNA, 465 nt
Filed under: uncultured bacterium
Lineage: Bacteria
Description: bacterial SSU rRNA
Rfam family: Bacterial small subunit ribosomal RNA
Source: RNAcentral
CCUACGGGUCGCAGCAGUGGGGAAUAUUGCACAAUGGGCGCAAGCCUGAUGCAGUCAUGCCGCGUGUAUGAAGAAGGCCUUAGGGUUGUAAAGUACUUUCAGUUGGGAGGAAGGCGUUGAUGCUAAUAUCAUCAACGAUUGACGUUACCAACAGAAGAAGCACCGGCUAACUCCGUGCCAGCAGCCGCGGUAAUACGGAGGGUGCAAGCGUUAAUCGGAAUUACUGGGCGUAAAGCGCACGCAGGCGGUUGAUUAAGUUAGAUGUGAAAUCCCCGGGCUUAACCUGGGAAUGGCAUCUAAGACUGGUCAGCUAGAGUCUUGUAGAGGGGGGGUAGAGUUCCAUGUGUAGCGGUGAAAUGCGUAGAGAUGUGGAGGAAUACCGGUGGCGAAGGCGGCCCCCUGGACAAAGACUGACGCUCAGGUGCGAAAGCGUGGGGAGCAAACAGGAUUAGAUACCCCCGUAGU